Molecule: ribosomal RNA, 253 nt
Filed under: uncultured bacterium
Lineage: Bacteria
Description: partial 16S ribosomal RNA
Rfam family: Bacterial small subunit ribosomal RNA
Source: RNAcentral
UACGGGGGGAGCAAGCGUUGUCCGGAAUCAUUGGGCGUAAAGAGCGUGUAGGCGGCUUGCUAAGUCUUGCGUGAAAUCUCGGGGCUCAACCCCGAGCGGUCGUGGGAAACUGGCAGGCUAGAGUGCGGGAGAGGAGAAUGGAAUUCCUGGUGUAGCGGUGAAAUGCGCAGAUAUCAGGAGGAACACCGGUGGCGAAGGCGGGUCUCUGGGCCGAUACUGACGCUGAGGAGCGAAAGCGUGGGGAGCGAACAGG